RNAcentral lists this unclassified non-coding RNA (336 nucleotides) under soil metagenome. RNAcentral describes it as "partial contains 5.8S ribosomal RNA, internal transcribed spacer 2, and large subunit ribosomal RNA". The stretch from base 1 to 120 matches the Rfam family "5.8S ribosomal RNA", at positions 35 to 154 of the family's 154-position model. The record is from RNAcentral.
GAUGAAGAACGCAGUGAAAUGCGAUAAGUAAUGUGAAUUGCAGAAUUCAGUGAAUCAUCGAAUCUUUGAACGCACAUUGCGCCCGCCAGUAUUCUGGCGGGCAUGCCUGUUCGAGCGUCAUUUCAACCAUCAAGCCCCAGGCUUGUGUUGGGGACCUGCGGCUGCCGCAGGCCCUGAAAACCAGUGGCGGGCUCGCUGUCACACCGGGCGUAGUAGAUUUUAUCUCGCUCAGGGCUUGCUGCGGGUCCCGGCCGUUAAAAGCCUUUUUUUACCCAAGGUUGACCUCGGAUCAGGUAGGAAGACCCGCUGAACUUAAGCAUAUCAAUAAGCGGAGGA